This is a long non-coding RNA of Peromyscus leucopus (white-footed mouse), 856 nucleotides long. RefSeq lists it as uncharacterized. The record is from RefSeq and is a predicted model, not a curated record. The transcript is spliced from 2 exons. NCBI's taxonomy places the organism in Eukaryota, Metazoa, Chordata, Mammalia, Rodentia, Cricetidae.
UACUAUACAGACCAGGCUGGCCUCACGCUCACAGGGAUUCCGCUGUCUCUGGGAUGCUUGACAGAUCACACCAGAAAACAAACCUCUUGUCGGGCCACGCUUGGAUCGAUUCUUAGACUGACUGGAACCCGGUGCCGAGGAACGAUUAGGAGUGUUGGCGAUCCAUUAGUGAUGUCUGCCGAAGAUAUGGGGGAAGAACGGACAGGCAUCUAUUAUUCUGGGUCCCGUUCCUGAAUGGGAUUCCGAUUCUGGAUCUCCUCCCCGGAUGUGUGGUUGUGUGGUUCACGUGUGCAGACACGCAACCCUGUGUGUGUCCCUGACAUUUGGAGGAGACGGACAACACCCGUGCCCCAGUGCAUCAGGGCUGUGAUGACAGGCUUAGCCUUGGAGUACUGAGCAGGGAGAACUGUCCCACAAGGGAGGGACAGGCAAGGUGGACUUCCUGAAGGAAGUGGCAUCUAAGCUAGGCUCUAAAGGCUGAACAGAUAUUACCUUGGGGAGGGGGCCAGACACGAGGAGAAUGGAAUUCAGCUGGGUUUGGAUUGGGUGGAUUGCCUUGGAUGGAAUCUGAUAAGUCUGGGAAGCGUAAUAGGGAGCCACCGAGGAAUUUUAUGCAAGGGGGCGUCAUUAUCAAGAGGUGUGGUGGUGCAUGCCUGUUGUCCCGGCCCUCAGGAAGCUGAGGGAGGAAAGGGGGAGUUUCAAGGUUAGCACUGACAGCACAGCAAGUUUGAGGCUAGCCUGGGACUCACGUGAUGAUGGAAGGAGAGAACGGACUCCCACGGGUCGCCUUCUGACCGCCAUAUGAAAGCCAUAGUGUGUGCUCUCCCUCUCUUCCCAAAAUAAAUAAUACAAUACC